GCACUUCCCAAGUGAGGCAAUGCCUCGCCCUGCUUCGGCUCGCGCACGGUGCGCGCACCCACUGACCUGUGCCCACUGUCUGGCACUUCCUAGUGAGAUGAACCCGGUACCUCAGAUUGAAAUGCAGAAAUCACCCGUCUUCUGCGUCGCUCACGCUGGGAGCUGUAGACCGGAGCUGUUCCUAUUCGGCCAUCUUGGCUCCUCCCUCAGUUCUGGAGACUGGGACAUCCAAGGUCAAUGUGCUGGCAGAUUCAAUGUCUGGAUUGGCAAACACAAAUCAUGUUCCAAGUUCUGCCUUCCACCUGAGUGAAAUACAUCACCGCUUUCCCUGCUCCCGCCGCCAUUAAAAUUGUGUUUGGCAUCUGACCACCAAGAUACAGAUAUUUCCUAGACUGUUUUGCAGCUAGGUACUUAGAUAGUAAUGAAGAUAGGGGCCACCAUUCCCUGUGAAAAUCAAGUGGGAAAGUCCUGAGUCCUUUAAUGACUUUACAGAGGACAGAAUAAACUCCUAUCAUAUUCAUGCAA
This 525-nucleotide long non-coding RNA is filed under the name Homo sapiens (human). Its description in RNAcentral is "novel transcript". The record is from RNAcentral. Lineage: Eukaryota; Metazoa; Chordata; Mammalia; Primates; Hominidae.